CAUAGCAAGUGACACUACAAUGCUGCUGAAGGCAACACACACACACACACAUCCUCCACAGCCUCCAUUCCUGGCACAUCAUCUCUGGAGGAAAAAGCAAGAGAACCGCUGCAUGAAAAAUCAAAGGAAACAAAAGCUGGCAGUUGGCAAGGCAGAGCAACCCAAUUCCAUGAGCCACCUCCAUAAAGUCAGCACUUGCAAAGUUCUCUGUGGACAAUUGAAUCCUACCAGAUCCACGCCUUCAGCAGAAACAGUGGUUCCUCUUGGUAUUUAGGAAACUAGAAAACACAGACACUCUAAGCCAAGCCAACCUGGGUGAGUCAAGAUGAGCCACGACUUACAAGACACCAUCGAGGACUUCAAGCUCGUGAUGGAGGAAAUGGAGAAGAAAGUGACUGCCAUGAAGGAGAGGACGGAUGAGGCGUACAGGAAGAUCAACCAGCUGGAAGCCCAGAAGUAUUCCCUGAUGGAUACCAACGAACAGCUCAGCCAGGAACUGCAAAACCUCUCCUAUCAGGUCUCUCUGUACGAGGACAGGAGAAAUUCUUCAGAAAAGAUUGCUCAGCUGCCCAAGAAAAAGGAAACCUUUGCCGUUCGGAGAUGAAGCAGGUGGAGGAGAAAACAAAAGAAAAUCCGGUGAUAACAUUUUGCAAAGAAAGAACGCAAACAACUACUGGAAUAAAGGAAAAGCAAAAGCCAAGAUCACCA
Molecule: long non-coding RNA, 708 nt
Organism: Anolis carolinensis (green anole)
Lineage: Eukaryota; Metazoa; Chordata; Lepidosauria; Squamata; Anolidae
Exons: 2
Source: RefSeq, a predicted model, not a curated record